AGAAGGAGAAGAAGAAACAGACAUUGGCUUCAUCUUGUGCUCUGGAUACAAACUGUUAAAAAAAUAACCCCAACCAACCACCCUCUGCCUCUACACCGAGCAGUUCAAUCACCAGCGGAGAAAAGUAAAGUUAAAGUGGAUGGGGGAGAGUGAGUUUGGGGAAGUUUGGAGUUGGUGGAGCUUGAAAGUCCCUGAUGGAGCAGCUUGGACUGCAGCAUGGAGUGAUGGUCGAUCUGGCAGGAGGACUAGAAAAUGCUAACGCACCGCCUCAGGCUGUUUCAAUAUAUUUACUGUACAGGAGUAUGUAAGCAAUGUUAGCCUUGCUGUUGGCCUGCAAUCAGUACGCCCUCCCUCCUGAAUGGUUUACACCGUCUUUUCCCGGCUGAUCCCGGAGCAUCAUAUAGAUGUUGGAACUAAUAUUCAGUAACUUACCCGACUACACCACUCUGCUUCACCACACAUCAGACCUUUGCAUCGAAACAAUCAUCCAUGUGUGUCCAUGAAGAAAAUCAGCAUCACAGUAAUCUGCUCACAGCCAGGGAGUCGUCCACCCACCAGUCUGUCUCUCCCUCGCUUUAUUACUCCCUCCUCUGCACCCCCCGUCUCUCUGCCUACCAAACUAAAUGUGGCACCUCCAGCGCACCCUGAAGAGACUGGAAUCAGGACCAGGUCUGAAUGGAUCCACUCAGUCUCCUCUCAUUGAUUGAACCUGACUGGCACAACAAUGAAUCCCAUCUGGCACCGCGGAGGCUCUAAAACUAUAAACUCUCAAACUAAAAGAAAAGAGGAUUAUUUCCAUUAACAUUUCAAUGAACGGUGGAGUCUGCAGAUUUGCACUUGCACACUGACAUAAUACGCUCAUGGGAACAUGACAGAGAUGAAACAUGUUACAGUAAUAUAAGUUAUCAGCAUCAGCAGCAGAAAGUAUAUCAGUGUAUUGAAGCUGAUGUCUCCUAUGUAGACACGGUUUAAUACUGUACAAUGAUACUGUAAUGACCUGACACGUAGGAAACUAUUGAAUAAAAAUGUUCA
This is a long non-coding RNA of Sebastes umbrosus (honeycomb rockfish), 1032 nucleotides long. RefSeq lists it as uncharacterized. The transcript has 3 exons. The record is from RefSeq and is a predicted model, not a curated record. NCBI's taxonomy places the organism in Eukaryota, Metazoa, Chordata, Actinopteri, Perciformes, Sebastidae.